This 328-nucleotide long non-coding RNA is filed under the name Mytilus galloprovincialis (Mediterranean mussel). The record is from RNAcentral. Lineage: Eukaryota; Metazoa; Mollusca; Bivalvia; Mytilida; Mytilidae.
UGACUUAUUUGUAAAUCUUACUUUGCUGAACAUUAUUGCUGUUUACAGUUUAUCUCUAUCUAAAAUAAUAUUCAAGAUAAAUACCAAAAACAGCAAAAUUUCCUUAAAAUUACCAAUUCAGGGGCAGCAACCCAACAACGGGUUGUCCGAUUCAUCUGAAAAUUUCAGGGCAGAUAAAUCUUGACCUGAUAAACAAUUUUAACCCCAUGUCAGAUUUGCUCUAAAUGCUUUGGUUUUUGAGUUAUAAGCCAAAAACUGCAUUUUACCCCUAUGUUCUAUUUUUAGCCAUGGCGGCCAUCUUGGAUAGUUGGCCGGGUCACCGGACACA